Molecule: long non-coding RNA, 332 nt
Organism: Camelus dromedarius (Arabian camel)
Lineage: Eukaryota; Metazoa; Chordata; Mammalia; Artiodactyla; Camelidae
Exons: 3
Source: RefSeq, a predicted model, not a curated record
CAUCUCCAGAAAUCGCCAGUAGAAUUGGAUUUACUGUGUACCUCACUGCUUUGCCCCUCAAAGUCUGCAGUGAUGUUCAGGUGGGAUCCACUAUCAAAUCAUGAUAUGUUGUCUCAGCACCUAAAGUAUUCUAUGUUGGAGCCUCUGAAAAUGUAGUAAUUCAAGUUCAAGGAUACACAGAAUCUUUUCCAGUGACCAUUGCUAUUAAAAGUUAUCCUGACAAAAGUUUUACAUAUUCUUCUGGCCAAGUUUAUUUAUCUCCAGAAAAUAACUUCCAAAGCUCUGCGAACUUAACUGUAUGUAUUCUUCUUAUAUUUUCUUUUACAUACCAA